UACGUAGGGACCAAGCGUUGUUCGGAUUUACUGGGCGUAAAGGGCGCGUAGGCGGCAUGACAAGUCACUUGUGAAAUCUCCGGGCUUAACUCGGAACGGCCAAGUGAUACUGUCAAGCUAGAGUGCAGAAAGGGCAAUCGGAAUUCUUGGUGUAGCGGUGAAAUGCGUAGAUAUCAAGAGGAACACCUGAGGCGAAGGCGGGUUGCUGGGCUGACACUGACGCUGAGGCGCGAAAGCUAGGGGGAGCGAACGGG
This 254-nucleotide ribosomal RNA is filed under the name uncultured bacterium. RNAcentral describes it as "partial 16S ribosomal RNA". It matches the Rfam family "Bacterial small subunit ribosomal RNA", at positions 524 to 776 of the family's 1533-position model. The record is from RNAcentral.